UACGUAGGGGGCAAGCGUUGUCCGGAUUUAUUGGGCGUAAAGAGCUCGUAGGCGGUUCCGUAAGUCGGGUGUGAAAAAUCUGGGCUCAACCCAGUGGAGCACCCGAUACUGCGGUGACUCGAGUCCGGUAGGGGAGUGUGGAAUUCCUGGUGUAGCGGUGAAAUGCGCAGAUAUCAGGAGGAACACCGACGGCGAAGGCAGCACUCUGGGCCGGUACUGACGCUGAGGAGCGAAGGCAUGGGGAGCGAACAGG
This 253-nucleotide ribosomal RNA is filed under the name uncultured bacterium. RNAcentral's name for it is "partial 16S ribosomal RNA". It matches the Rfam family "Bacterial small subunit ribosomal RNA", at positions 524 to 776 of the family's 1533-position model. The record is from RNAcentral.